This is a long non-coding RNA of Chelonoidis abingdonii (Abingdon island giant tortoise), 2060 nucleotides long. RefSeq lists it as uncharacterized. The record is from RefSeq and is a predicted model, not a curated record. NCBI's taxonomy places the organism in Eukaryota, Metazoa, Chordata, Testudines, Testudinidae.
CUCUGGUAGCCGGAAGCAGCAGCUGCGGAGGAGGGGAGCGAUGGAGGCAGAGGGGCCGGAGCAGCGGCAGGGCGGCCGGGAGCCGGAGCCGGCCACAGCGAAUGGCGAUUGCAGCCGCCCCCUGUCCCUCUCCGGACAGUCCUACUGGCUCGACGUGUGGCUCUUCGUCCUCUUCGACCUGGCGCUGCUCGUCUUCGUCUAUCUGCUGCCCUGAGCCUGCGGUGGCAACUCCUAUUCAAGAUGAGGAACCGUAUUUAUGAAAACAUACUUCAGAAGAGGAAGAGUAUACAUGCAACUGGAAAUGAGACUCUGAAACCUGUUAAGCCACUGAGUGCUAGUGAUACACAUUGAUCCAUUCAUGGAUGUAGUGAUUUUGAGGGGGUCUGGUUCAUUUAUAGCCUGUCACUGAAGUAAAUGUAAAUUGUGCCUUAAGUUAAAUUAUUUCAAAAGUUUGAGGAUACUCUAGCUUCCAUAGCAGUAAUAUGGAUUAUUCAUUUGUCAUUUACAUAAUAUUUAGUGUUUGAAUAAAGAUCAAUUGAAAAAAUGGAACUUCAGAUUGGCUGGAUAGCUUCUUCUGUAGAAAAGAUAGAUGGUGCCUGGUUUCUCCUGAGGUUACUUUUGUGGUUAUGACAUCCUUUUCUAACCUGGCAAGAUCAACUCCCUCUUUCAAACACUUCCAUGCAGCUCUAUCCCUCUGAGGCUUUUUAUAGGAGCUCUGUCUAGAGACAAAUAGCCAUAAUAGUAAGUUUUUACUGGUGUCCUCUUAAAUUACCCAGCAUGACCCUGCUUAUGAUGUUGGUUGCUUACUUUCACUAUCCUUCCCUACUGGAAUAACCUGUAGUGCUGUGGGUACAUAGAGCCACAUUUUGAAAGGCAUCCUCCUCUGUGCUAACCACUAUUAUCAUCUCCUCCUAAAAUAUCAAGCAGGUUUUGAUAUCAAAAUCCCUUUGUAACUAAGUAAGGCAUGUAAAAAGGCAAGCCUGCCUGCUGAAAGCUUGCCUACAUUUAAAGGGCUGCACUGGUGAAGAUGUGACUUAUGCCACAGGGAGGGCUUUUCCUGUUGGCACAGGUACUCCACCUUCCUGAGGCAGUACCCAUGUUGAUGGGAGAAGGUGGACAUUGACAAUUUUUUGCACAUACAGCAGAACUGAUGAUUCAAAACAUGACAGAAUUAACUUUGCAGAGAAUAAAUAUUGAAGUUUCCUACAUCUAAGCUUUGUUUUUCCUGUUACACACCACAUAUUAUUGCCUAAUGUUUUAUUUGAACAGUGAUGCUCACAGCUUCACUUAGAUAGCUGAGAACUACUCUCAAGCACCACAGAUCUUCUGUUAGAUGACCAACCUAACUUGCAAAUAAGUGGUGUUCCAGCAUUGUUUCAUCACUUUUAAACCACCUGUGUAAAAUAGAGAAUAGAGGUAGCAGCCACAAAAGUAGUUAGAUAAAAACUGUCUGAACAUGCAGAAAAAUGCAACUUUGCAUGAAAAUAAAAUUUGAAAGAUUGAAAUAUUACAAUACCUGUUAAAUGCAUUAACAUUACAAAAUAUCUAUGUUCUUAUACAAAUCUAUAACCAGGACAUUUAUAAAAAAAGGCACUCUAGCUAAAUCAGUGUCAGAUCACACAUUAGUUAAAUUAAAUAAACAUAGGGCAUGUAGAGUAAAAACUGAAGAUGUCAAUUAUAUAAUAGUGCACAAAUAACUUAUCUGGUAAACAGGUCAUAUACAAAAGAUUUUGCCUGGAAAGACAGCUUCAAGGAAAGCAAGGAAAGAUCAAUGUUCAUCUAAGUGACUUCAAUGAAGAUUGUUGCAUUUCAGAACCCCAGAAGAACCUAAGCAGCUAUUCUUAAAUAAACUCACCAAUUAUGUUCACUAGCUUUCUGGAAACCAAAUUCACUUGUUUGUGUUAGUAAUAGGCAUUUACAUUGUUUCUUUGUAUAGAAGUGUGAACGUUUGCUAUGAACCUUUAAGAACAUUUAAAGUUUGCUCUUGUAUAGUAUUCAGUGUUGCUGUGCUGUUUAGACAUUAAAAUGCUGCAAUUCCAAAUACAAGAUUUCUGGAAAAG